RNAcentral lists this ribosomal RNA (235 nucleotides) under uncultured bacterium. Its description in RNAcentral is "partial 16S ribosomal RNA". It matches the Rfam family "Bacterial small subunit ribosomal RNA", at positions 99 to 334 of the family's 1533-position model. The record is from RNAcentral.
CGGACGGGUGAGUAACGCGUGGAUAACCUGCCUCACACAGGGGGAUAACAGUUAGAAAUGACUGCUAAUACCGCAUAAGCGCACGGUACCGCAUGGUACAGUGUGAAAAACUCCGGUGGUGUGAGAUGGAUCCGCGUCUGAUUAGGUAGUUGGUGAGGUAACGGCCCACCAAGCCGACGAUCAGUAGCCGACCUGAGAGGGUGACGGGCCACAUUGGGACUGAGACACGGCCCAA